GGGAAUGUGGCUUAGUGGUAGAGUGCUUGCCUACCAUGCAUGAAGCCCUGGGUUCAGUUCCUCAGUACCA
Molecule: transfer RNA, 70 nt
Filed under: Dipodomys ordii (Ord's kangaroo rat)
Lineage: Eukaryota; Metazoa; Chordata; Mammalia; Rodentia; Heteromyidae
Rfam family: tRNA
About the family: Transfer RNA (tRNA) molecules are approximately 80 nucleotides in length. Their secondary structure includes four short double-helical elements and three loops (D, anti-codon, and T loops). Further hydrogen bonds mediate the characteristic L-shaped molecular structure. tRNAs have two regions of fundamental functional importance: the anti-codon, which is responsible for specific mRNA codon recognition, and the 3' end, to which the tRNAs corresponding amino acid is attached (by aminoacyl-tRNA synthetases). tRNAs cope with the degeneracy of the genetic code in two manners: having more than one tRNA (with a specific anti-codon) for a particular amino acid; and 'wobble' base-pairing, i.e. permitting non-standard base-pairing at the 3rd anti-codon position.
Source: Rfam by way of RNAcentral